This 1674-nucleotide ribosomal RNA is filed under the name Halichondriid sp. UCMPWC1063. RNAcentral's name for it is "eukaryotic LSU rRNA". It matches the Rfam family "Eukaryotic large subunit ribosomal RNA", at positions 371 to 1823 of the family's 3401-position model. The record is from RNAcentral. Lineage: Eukaryota; Metazoa; Porifera; Demospongiae; Suberitida; Halichondriidae.
GUACUUUGAAAAGAGAGUCAAAAAGACCGCGAAACCGUUAGGAGGGAAACGAAUGCAGCCAAAGUGGCUCUCAUUCAGGCUCAGGAGUUGUCGGUGCGCAGUGCCAGGCUGUUGGACACCGAAGGGUGCGGCAGUCAGGAUACAGCAUGCCGAGCACUCUGCAUUCCUGAUGAGAGUCGGCCAACAGCAGUUACCCCUGACUCGAAAGGGCUGUCGGGAAGGUAGCUUCUUGGUUUACCAGGAAGAACUUAUAGCCAUCGGCCUGGCAGUUGGGGGUGACUGAGGAGUGCUGUGACUUUUCACACCAGCAGUGCAGGCUCCCUAGGGGCCGGGUCGCUUCUGUCCGUGUGGGCAAUGCUUCCGGGACUGCAUGCAGUGUCGGAAGACAUGUGUGUGCUCGGGUGGGAGGUUGGCCACGCCUUGCACUGAAGUUGUUGGUACCUGGAUGGUUUCAUUCGACCCGUCUUGAAACACGGACCAAGGAGUGCAACAUGCGUGCGAGUCUUGGGGUGGAAAACCUGUUGGCGCAAUGAAAGUGAAGGUAGGCAUUGGUCUACCGAGGCAAGAGCCACCUUGGGGUGGCACAUUGUCGACCGAUCCCAGGCUACGCUGUAGUGGGAUUUGAGUGAGAGCGUGCCUGUUGCGACCCGAAAGAUGGUGAACUAUGCCUGAAUAGGGCGAAGCCAGAGGAAACUCUGGUGGAAGCUCGUAGCGAUUCUGACGUGCAAAUCGAUCGUCAAAUUUGGGUAUAGGGGCGAAAGACUAAUCGAACCAUCUAGUAGCUGGUUCCCUCCGAAGUUUCCCUCAGGAUAGCUGGAGCCCGGUGCAGUUUUAUCAGGUAAAGCGAAUGAUUAGAGGUCUUGGGGUUGAAACAACCUCAACCUAUUCUCAAACUUUAAAUGGGUAAGAAGCUCGGCUUGCUUAGUUGAAGUCGGGCCCGGAAUGCCGGGGCUUCUAGUGGGCCAUUUUUGGUAAGCAGAACUGGCGAUGCGGGAUGAACCGAAAGCUGGGUUAAGGUGCCCGAGUCGACGCUCAUCAGAUACCAUGAAAGGUGUUGGUUGAUCUAGACAGCAGGACGGUGGCCAUGGAAGUCGGAAUCCGCUAAGGAGUGUGUAACAACUCACCUGCCGAAUCAACUAGCCCUGAAAAUGGAUGGCGCUGAAGCGUCGCACCCAUACCCGGCCGUCGGGCUGAGGGGCAUGGCCCGACGAGUAGAAGGGCGCGGUGGUGSCUGUGCAGCCUUGGGCGCGAGCCUGGGUGAAGCUGCCACUGGUGCAGAUCUUGGUGGUAGUAGCAAAUAUUCAAACGAGAGCUUUGAAGACUGAAGUGGGGAAGGGUUCCAUGUGAACAGCAGUUGGACAUGGGUUAGUCGAUCCUAAGAGAAGGGAGAGGUCCUUGUGGAGGGCACAAUCGCCUCGGCGACCGUGCCGUCCCUCGAAAGGGAAUCGGGUUAACAUUCCCGAACCGGGAUGCGGAUAGGCCCUAGGCCAUUAGCGGCAACGCAAGCGAACUCGGAGACGUCGGCGAGAGCCCCGGGAAGAGUUCUCUUUUCUUCUUAACGGACUGGCACCCUGGAAUCAGAUUGGCUGGAGAUAGGGUUUAAUGUCCGGUAAAGCGCCACACUUGUGGUGGCGUCCGGUGCGCUCUCGACGGCCCUUGAAAAUCCGAGGGAGU